RNAcentral lists this unclassified non-coding RNA (703 nucleotides) under Hevea brasiliensis (rubber tree). Lineage: Eukaryota; Viridiplantae; Streptophyta; Magnoliopsida; Malpighiales; Euphorbiaceae. The record is from RNAcentral.
UACCAAAAUCAACUUUCUGGUUCUAUUCCUCCCGAAAUUGGAAACUUGAAGUCCCUCAACUGGCUAAGCCUUUUUGGAAACUAUCUUUCUGGCCCAAUUCCAAGGUCAUUAGGUGGUCUGACAAGCCUCACCCUACUUCAUCUUUACGAAAAUCAACUCUCCGGCUCCAUUCCUGAAGAGUUGGAAAACUUGACUUCUAUUUUCGAUCUAGACUUGGGUGUAAAUCAACUUAAUGGUUUUAUUCCUUCUUCCUUUGGUAAUUUAGGCGAGUUAAAAAUUUUAAAUCUCCGUGAUAAUGGACUUUCUGGUCGAAUUCCUGAGCAGAUAUCAAAUCUCACAAAGUUGUCCUUUCUUCAACUACAGAACAAUCAGUUGACUGGUUUGUUGCCCCAAAACAUUUGUCAAAAUAAAAUGCUUGAAAACAUUAGUGUCAGUGACAACCAUCUUGAAGGCCCAAUCCCCAAAAGUUUCAAAGACUGUAAAAGUUUAAUAAGAGUUCGCCUUGAUGGAAAUCAUUUAACUGGAAAUAUAUCUGAAGAUUUUGGUGUCUAUCCAAACCUUCAAUUUAUGGAUCUAAGCCACAAUAAAUUUUAUGGUGAAAUAUCAACCAACUGGGGAAGGUGUCCCAAUUUGACCGCACUAUGGAUCGCAAACAGCAAUAUUACCGGUACCAUCCCACGGGAGAUCGGAAAUGCUGCUCAGC